CCUACGGGAGGCAGCAGUGAGGAAUAUUGGUCAAUGGACGAGAGUCUGAACCAGCCAAGUAGCGUGAAGGAUGACUGCCCUAUGGGUUGUAAACUUCUUUUAUAUGGGAAUAAAACGUUCCACGUGUGGGAUUUUGUAUGUACCAUAUGAAUAAGGAUCGGCUAACUCCGUGCCAGCAGCCGCGGUAAUACGGAGGAUCCGAGCGUUAUCCGGAUUUAUUGGGUUUAAAGGGAGCGUAGGUGGAUUGUUAAGUCAGUUGUGAAAGUUUGCGGCUCAACCGUAAAAUUGCAGUUGAAACUGGCAGUCUUGAGUACAGUAGAGGUGGGCGGAAUUCGUGGUGUAGCGGUGAAAUGCUUAGAUAUCACGAAGAACUCCGAUUGCGAAGGCAGUUCACUGGACUGCAACUGAUACUGAGGCUCGAAAGUGUGGGUAUCAAACAGGAUUAGAUACCCUAGUAGUC
RNAcentral lists this ribosomal RNA (460 nucleotides) under uncultured bacterium. RNAcentral's name for it is "partial 16S ribosomal RNA". It matches the Rfam family "Bacterial small subunit ribosomal RNA", at positions 338 to 795 of the family's 1533-position model. The record is from RNAcentral.